GAAAUAAACAUUGCAAGCAAAUAUAGAGAGGAGGCGAGCUGUUUGUGGUAAGUUGCUUAUGCCAUUUGUUGAGUAUGACUGGAAACCAAAAUGAAAUUUUAGUUUUAUUCAAAAAAUAAAAAUAAAAUCUCUGUUGAUACUUAAUAUAGCUGUGGUAAUUUCCUUGCAAGUCUUCAGCCUGUUGGCUCACAGUCUCUUUGCCAUUGAGAAACUUAUGCUCUAUCUUAAUGAAGACAGCAACUAGAAAUUAGCAGUUACUGGUGGUGGCUGUUAGAUCUACCUAUUUGCAUGGAUUUUUUUUAAUGACCAUCGGUUCAUAAGUAUUUUCAUUUUUUGAAAAUGUUUUCCAUUAUUUCAGGAGAAACCAUACAGUGUCACAUGAAAAAGUUAUAUCAACAAUGAACAGGUUUGAUAAAUAAAAUGCAGGGGGAAAAAAGUGAAAUGGUUAAUCCCUGUACUAAUUAUUUGUCCCAUUUUUGUUAAUACAAAUUAAAUGUUUCACUUGGUUAAUGACAAGUUUGAUCAAACAGUUCAUAAACUGAUGGAUUGACUUUGAAAUGAAUUCAGGGAAAAAAAAUGACAUGAUGUGGAGCUGGCAAGGGGCCGCCUCUAGUGGGAACAGAUGCCCAACAAAUUUGGCGAGUAGUUUUGUUCUCUUCUAUCUGUUGCAGUUCACAAUCCUAAUGAAUGUUAUGUUUAAAUAACAUGAAUAAAGAUAAAGUGAAAAUGAAUUCAACUCCAGUUUGAGCAGCAGAAUAAAAAUGAGCAAACUGUAUUAUCUUCUGCCACCUAAUCUGGGUUGAAUUUCCUCUGUAUCUUUUUUGUUUGUUGAAGAAUCCUUUUCUUGAGUCUCCUUGGCCAUUGACAAGGUCUUUUGAGAUGAAUAUGAAAAGAUAGAUUUAAAGGUUAAGGCCAGGGUCAGAUGGUUGCAGAUGUUUUGUGAGAGAUUGUUCGGUUCAGUUUGUGGUACUUCUCCUGACUAAGGUAUUUCAAACAGGCAGACUCAUGGCCAGCAACUGUCGAUGAAUGUUGUUUGUCUCACAAUUGAUCCAUGCAAACACAAACACAGAGUAGAAAGAGUGUUUGUUUUUUCUUAGGCAGAUAAUUUUCCCCCAGCCCAAAGACUUUGUCUGAAACCAGAGAAGACACUAUUUUUAUUUCUAGAAAGUAGGACUUUUUAGGUUUGGCUCUUCAGAUGAUCAGCUGAGACCAUUUUUCAGGGGAUAAAUAAUGGCACCAUGUAACAGAAGUUGAUUAGACUGUAAAAGGUUGCAACGUUUUUGGAGAGGAAGUGAAAGGAAGUAGAGCUUGGACAUUGAAAGAAAAAAGAUAAAUGAACUAGUCUCUUAUCUCCUGACUUCAAAUUCUAAUUAACAAAAAAUGUGGAAAUAAAGGGACAGAGUUCAUGAAAGUCACGCUGAUUGCCAUUGGGAUAUUUCAUUAUUUGAUAGAUUUAGAUUGAAUCAUCUCUCUCCAUAAGGGAGGUUAGAAUACAUAGAUGUGUAUAUAUGUAUAAAAUGUGUAUGUGUAUACACACAAUAUAUGUAUGUGUGUGUGAAUCUGUUAAAUUAUGUGUAUAUAUAUUAUAUAUACACACAUAUAUUUGUGUAUGCAGUAUACACACAUAUAUACACAUAUACAUAUGUGUGUAUGUAUAUAAUAUGUGUGUAUAUGCACACACACACACUCACACACACAGAUCCUCUUAACAGUCAGAUGGCAUUAGAUGUAAAGUAUUUCCUCCAGGAAUGUCUUAAGGGUUUUCACUUUAAGAAUUUUUAUUUACUAUCUCCAUAGGUUUAUAAACAUGAUUAAAACAUUUCCAUGGGCCAUUUCCCAUUCCCUUCCCUUGAGUGUUUUAACAUUUAAGUUAUGAGCAUUGAGAGCCUAUAGUUAAUUGACUAAGGCCAAUGGGAUGGUUCCUUUCCACAAUAUACAAUUCAGAACAAUUUAGAUAGGGAUGUUUUCUUUCUUAGAUCUUGUAAAGAUGGCUUUUAAUUAACAUAUAUUUUGGAACAUUCUAUGUAAAAAUAUCUAGGAUGUUGAAAAAUACAAAGGACUAUGAAUUUUUUAGUCAACACGCUGAGAGAAAGCUUUUAUAGCUUUUACUUUCCUAGCAUCUAUUCACUAUCAGUCCUUCACAUUUACAUUCUUCUGAAUUUUAUGCUGCAUAAUGCUACCGGGAAGACUGUGUUUAUUAUUCUGACAUGAUUCUUUGUGAAAUAGGUGCUUGAUAAGGAUUAUUUUUAAAAGACCAAAAGCCCCUCAAGUGAUUACUCUCUCAAACUUCUUGUAAAGGAGGACAGAUAGUGAUCCUCACCACCACCGGAGGCAAGUCUAGAAUUUUCCAAUGUUUUAAAUGUUUGCAUGCCACACAAUAUCAUCAAAAAUUUUUUUUUUGCUAAGGUGAAAAAUUAGAUUUUUUUUUGUACCUGAGGCCUGUUGCCUGUUGUUCUUUAGAACAUUUAGUUACAUUUCAAAUAACACAGUAAAUUUCCUGAUCAUUCCUAUACAUUUGGAUCACUGAAGAAUGUGGAAGCUUACAAGAAUUACAAAUAAAAUAAUUUUUUAUGCUUCUUCUUAUUAAAACUGAAGGUGUUUGAAAAUACAAAUGGAAAUUUAAUUUGCAAACCGUCUUAAUGCUAUGGAUACACACAUAAAAUAUAUGAAACGUUUCCUAUUAAAGGGAUUCAAGGAUGUGUAUUUCACUAUUUCAGAUGAUACGAUGAAAUUAUUAUCUUUUUACACAAUAGUCUUCAUUUCACUACCUUAUUGAACUAAAUUGUUUCACUAUAGGACACCAAGUUUUAAAGAUUGGGAUUUUAGUAGAGAGCGUGUUAGCUCUACAACUUUUGCACACAAGUCAAAUGUUAUUUGAAAUACAUAUUUCACUUUUUUUGGCUAUUCUGAAACCAAAAGAAAAAAUUUACAGA
This 2933-nucleotide long non-coding RNA is filed under the name Homo sapiens (human). RNAcentral's name for it is "HSALNT0377240". Lineage: Eukaryota; Metazoa; Chordata; Mammalia; Primates; Hominidae. The record is from RNAcentral.